This is a long non-coding RNA of Dioscorea cayenensis subsp. rotundata (Guinea yam), 697 nucleotides long. RefSeq lists it as uncharacterized. The record is from RefSeq and is a predicted model, not a curated record. Lineage: Eukaryota; Viridiplantae; Streptophyta; Magnoliopsida; Dioscoreales; Dioscoreaceae. The transcript has 4 exons.
ACCGGAAGAGCACUACCUUCUUAUUAAUAUAUUAUUGUCGUGCCGCCGCCGCCGCGCAUCUCCCUCUCUUUGCUUAUCUCCGGCGUGUUCUUCUUUGUCGGUGGCAUCGGGAUCGUCAUCGCCAUUGUCGUGCUCCUUCGCCCCCCGCGGACUGUGCAGGUUUUGGUGUUCCGGUGUGGGAGAGCUGAGGACACGCUUAGGAACUUCCGGUCGAGAUCUAGCGUUGGUGGCGGUGCUGGGUUGGAGGAUCGGCCGAAGCUGCUGGGCUUGGAUCCGCUGAUCGUCGGGCUGCGCUUCGGAGCACUUGGUUCCCUUCCGAUCCGGAGGCUCUAGCUCGGUCACAUGCAGAGAAAUAGUGAGUGUAGGUUGUUGGUGAUAAAUCGGUGACAGCCAGGACCACUGGGGAGUUUGAGAGUUUUAUUUGCAUUUCGUGCGAUUUGAUGGGGAGAAAGUAGUUGAGUUCUCAAUUGUUUGUUGGUAAAGAGAAGGUAUCACCUCUUUACCAACAAACGCUUCAACAGACACUUGACCAAGUCCAAGAUCGUGAGGAGAGGCUUCAACAGACACUUGCCAAGUACAAGAUAAUAACAAGGAGCUUCAACAAAGUUUGCUUGAAAUGAAAGAGGAGAGGGACCAAUAUCGUGCGGAGAUGAUGCGUCAAAUGAAGGACAUGAUGAUGAAUUUUUGAGAGGAGGAU